CAAGCUUCUCUGAACGCGUGCAAAGCUUGCCCUCCCACACUGACCCUGGUCUGAUGUGGGUUAGGUGUGCUCCACGUGGGGAGGGUUUCUGGGCAGCGUGUCAGCCCUGCGGGGGCAGGUGGGGAACGCAAGGCAGCUCCGCUCCGAGCACUGCAGCUCGAGCACUGGGUCUCCUGCUCUCACCCCCUCGCGACCUCGUGCCGCCUCGUGCAAGCCUGGAGCUCCGCCUGCCUGCGCUGUCGGCAGCAUCUCAGGAGCCCCGACUUCUGCUCCCAUCUCGCUCCCCUCUCCGCAGGCUGUCAACAACCGCCCCCCCCGCCCCCCCCCACUCUGCUCCUGGGGCGCCUCUCCGUCAGCGUCAGCGCCCAGCGCCUUCCACCUGAUUCCGAGUGAAAAAUUUAUCCUCAAGUGGGGUGCCAAGGAUGCUGUUCAAAUUUGGGGCUCCUGUUGGUGUUUAAAAUGUAUACAUCUGGGGAUCCCUGGGUGGCGCAGCGGUUUGGCGCCUGCCUUUGGCUCAGGGCGGGAUCCUGGAGACCCGGGAUGGAAUCCCACGUCGGGCUCCCGGUGCAUGGAGCCUGCUUCUCCCUCUGCCUAUGUCUCUGCCUCUUCUCUCUCUCUCUCUGUGUGACUAUCAUAAAUAAAUUUUAAAAAAUUAAAAUGCA
Molecule: long non-coding RNA, 662 nt
Organism: Nyctereutes procyonoides (raccoon dog)
Lineage: Eukaryota; Metazoa; Chordata; Mammalia; Carnivora; Canidae
Exons: 2
Source: RefSeq, a predicted model, not a curated record